Molecule: ribosomal RNA, 504 nt
Filed under: uncultured bacterium
Lineage: Bacteria
Description: bacterial SSU rRNA
Rfam family: Bacterial small subunit ribosomal RNA
Source: RNAcentral
UGGCUCAGGAUGAACGCUAGCGGCAGGCCUAAUACAUGCAAGUCGAGCGGUAAAUGCCCCUUCGGGGACAUGAGAGUGGCGGACGGGUGCGUUACGCGUAUGCAACCAACCCCCCGACGGGCGUACAGCCGGUGGAAACGCCGGGUGAUGCGCCAUGCGGCCAAUGGAGGGCAUCCUCUGUUGGCGAAAGCCCUUGGGCGGUCGGGGACGGGCAUGCGUGCCAUUAGCUAGUCGGCGGGGCGACGGCCCACCGAGGCUACGAUGGCUAGGGGAUCUGAGAGGACGGUCCCCCACACUGGUACUGAGACACGGACCAGACUCCUGCGGGAGGCAGCAGUAAGGGAUAUUGGGCAAUGGGGGGAACCCUGACCCAGCCAUGCCGCGUGAGGGAAUGAGGCCCUACGGGUCGUGAACCUCUUUUAUCCGGGGACAAUACCCCGCACGUGAUGCGGGGUUGAGGGUACCGGAAGAAUAAGCAUCGGCUAACUCCGUGCCAGCCGCCGC